CAAGCAGAUGAUUCAAGGCUGAGAAUACAUUCUGAUGCCGACACAGACAAUGGAACAGACAGACAAGGUCAGACGCAGGAAAUGUGGUACUUGGAGCACCGUUAGCCCGGACUAGCAUGAGCCUCUGGGGAUUCUCUAUGGAAGUCUUCGGACGCCCUGGGUGGUUUCUGAGAACAGGUUACAAAUCCAGACACCCCUCUUCUGCCUGUUAAGAAACUGGACUGUCCUCCAUUAACCACAAGGCCCGCGGUUACCAGGACUUCUCAGAGUCAUUCAUUAAAAUCUUCAUAUUGAGGUAAAUAAUUCGGUCACUUUGCAGACAGAAAAACGCAGGCAUGGAACUGAGACACAGCUUCGUCUCUCCUGGUCAGCAUCCCUUUCCUCUGUUUACCCCUCCAUGGACACCAAGGUUCCCUGCCACUGUUUGCCAGUCCCCUUAGAACAGCUCCAUAUGCCAGAAACUCUGCCCAUCUGUGUGACCUUAAACAGCCUGUAUCCUGUCCAUACCUCGUUUGUGAUAUUGUAGCUUGAGGUCCUGUGAGGAACAGCCAGAAAGAGGAGGUAGGCUCUGGAUGCCUGCUCUGUGGGAUGGUGCACAGAGGCCUGAGCACAUCUGGCACGAUCCAGAAACUCCUGGAGAAAUUCAGGCUGGGUAAUUACCUACGACUUCCUAGGAUAACACAGCUCUGUUUCAUCAUUAUUCUCUCUGUGUCUGUCUGUCUGUCUGUCUGUCUGUCUGUCUCUCUCUCUCUCUCUCACACACACACACACAGAGACAGAGACUGAGAGACAGAGAUAGAGAGACAGAGACAGAGACAGACAGAGACACAGAGAGAAUUAGAUUCUUCCAGAAACUGCAACCUGUUUCUAUACCUUCACCUUUCCUGAGGGGAUAACAAUUCACAUCCAUGAAUAAAAGUUGUUUUACUGAUCAC
This 935-nucleotide long non-coding RNA is filed under the name Rattus norvegicus (Norway rat). RNAcentral's name for it is "long non-coding RNA NONRATT010389". Lineage: Eukaryota; Metazoa; Chordata; Mammalia; Rodentia; Muridae. The record is from RNAcentral.